GUAGAUGGCAAGCGUUGUCCGGAAUUAUUGGGCGUAAAGCGCGCGCAGGCGGUUCUUUAAGUCUGAUGUGAAAGCCCACGGCUCAACCGUGGAGGGUCAUUGGAAACUGGAGAACUUGAGUACAGAAGAGGAAAGCGGAAUUCCACGUGUAGCGGUGAAAUGCGUAGAGAUGUGGAGGAACACCAGUGGCGAAGGCGGCUUUCUGGUCUGUAACUGACGCUGAGGCGCGAAAGCGUGGGGGGAGCAAACAGGAUUAGAUACCCUGGUAGUCCACGCCGUAAACGAUGAGUGCUAAGUGUUAGGGGGUUUCCGCCCCUUAGUGCUGCAGCUAACGCAUUAAGCACUCCGCCUGGGAGUACGGCCGCAAGGCUG
RNAcentral lists this ribosomal RNA (372 nucleotides) under uncultured organism. RNAcentral's name for it is "partial 16S ribosomal RNA". It matches the Rfam family "Bacterial small subunit ribosomal RNA", at positions 527 to 896 of the family's 1533-position model. The record is from RNAcentral.